RNAcentral lists this ribosomal RNA (423 nucleotides) under uncultured bacterium. RNAcentral describes it as "partial small subunit ribosomal RNA". It matches the Rfam family "Bacterial small subunit ribosomal RNA", at positions 369 to 808 of the family's 1533-position model. The record is from RNAcentral.
CANUGGGGGAACCCUGAAUGCAGCGACGCCGCGUGANCGAAGAAGUAUUUCGGUAUGUAAACUUCUAUCAGCAGGGNAAGAUAAUGACGGUACCUGACUAAGAAGCCCCGGCUAACUACGUGCCAGCAGCCGCGGUAAUACGUAUGGNGCAAGCGUUAUCCGGAUUUACUGGGUGUAAAGGGAGCGUAGACGGCNNNGUAAGUCUGAUGUGAAAGGCCUGGGCUCAACCNNUGGACUGCUUUGGAAACUGUGCUACUUGAGUGUCGGAGAGGUAAGNGGAAUUCCCAGUGUAGCGGUGAAAUGCGUAGAUAUUNGGAGGAACACCAGUGGCGAAGGCGGCUUACUGGACGAUGACUGACGUUGAGGCUCGAAAGCGUGGGGAGCAAACAGGAUUAGAUACCCUGGUAGUCCAAGGGCGAAUUC